RNAcentral lists this ribosomal RNA (253 nucleotides) under uncultured bacterium. RNAcentral describes it as "partial 16S ribosomal RNA". It matches the Rfam family "Bacterial small subunit ribosomal RNA", at positions 524 to 776 of the family's 1533-position model. RNAcentral also lists the same sequence under 1 other name. The record is from RNAcentral.
GACAGAGGGUGCAAACGUUGUUCGGAAUUACUGGGCGUAAAGCGUGUGUAGGCGGUGAGGUAAGUCGGAUGUGAAAGCCCAGGGCUCAACCCUGGAAGUGCACUCGAUACUGCUUCGCUUGAGUACUGGAGAGGUUGGUGGAAUUCUCGGUGUAGAGGUGAAAUUCGUAGAUAUCGAGAGGAACAUCUGUGGCGAAGGCGGCCAACUGGACAGAUACUGACGCUGAGACACGAAAGUGUGGGGAGCAAACAGG